CAAAUUUCUGCCCUAUCAACUUGAUGGUAGUAUAUAGGACUACCAUGGUUAUAACGGGUAACGGAGGAUUAGGGUUUGAUUCCGGAGAAGGAGCAUGAGAAACGGCUACUAUUUCUAAGGAAAGCAGCAGGCGCGCAAAUUAUUCAAUGGAAACAAAUUUCCGAAAUAGUGACAAAAAAUAUCAAUGCUGGGCACAAUGUGUUUAGUAAUUGGAAUGAGUACAAUUUUAAAUCCCUUAACAAGUAACAAUUAGAGGGCAAGUCUGGUGCCAGCAGCCGCGGUAAUUCCAGCUCUAAUAGCGUAUAUUAAUAUUGUUGCAGUUAAAAAGCUCGUAGUUGAAAUUUGGGACUUUAUUGUAUUGGUUCAUCUUUUGAUGAACUGUAUGAUGGGUUUCUUCCUACUAGGAUUCGAUUCUGUCCUUAACUGGAUGGAGUAGCCAUCUCUCGGGGUG
RNAcentral lists this ribosomal RNA (451 nucleotides) under uncultured eukaryote. RNAcentral's name for it is "bacterial SSU rRNA". It matches the Rfam family "Eukaryotic small subunit ribosomal RNA", at positions 300 to 749 of the family's 1831-position model. The record is from RNAcentral.